GAUGAACGCUGGCGGCGUGCCUAAUACAUGCAAGUCGAGCGAACGGACGAGAAGCUUGCUUCUCUGAUGUUAGCGGCGGACGGGUGAGUAACACGUGGAUAACCUACCUAUAAGACUGGGAUAACUUCGGGAAACCGGAGCUAAUACCGGAUAAUAUUUUGAACCGCAUGGUUCAAAAGUGAAAGACGGUCUUGCUGUCACUUAUAGAUGGAUCCGCGCUGCAUUAGCUAGUUGGUAAGGUAACGGCUUACCAAGGCAACGAUGCAUAGCCGACCUGAGAGAGUGAUCGGCCACACGGGAACUGAGACGCGGUCCAGACUCCUACGGGAGGCAGCAGUAGGGAAUCUGCCGCAAUGGGCGAGAGCCUGACGGAGCAACGGCGCGUGAGUGAUGAAGGUCUUCGGAUCGGAAAACUCUGUUAUUAGGGAAGAACAUAUGUGUAAGUAACUGUGCACAGCUUGACGGUACCUAAUCAGAAAGCCACGGCUAACUACGUG
RNAcentral lists this ribosomal RNA (497 nucleotides) under uncultured bacterium. Its description in RNAcentral is "partial 16S ribosomal RNA". It matches the Rfam family "Bacterial small subunit ribosomal RNA", at positions 28 to 507 of the family's 1533-position model. The record is from RNAcentral.